AUGCUUCUAAGAAGAGAGUCAGGGAUGCAGCUCAAUCUUAUUCUUCAACUCAAGUGGCAGCUAAGCAACAGAAGUUCUGGUUGCCUCCUCCUCCUUUGUUUUGUUAGCCUUAUCAGCAGAAGAGUAAAGGUGGCAGUGGAUCUUCCCACCCACCCAACCCAGGCUAUCAGAACAAAGCUCAGUCUCAUACUCCAGGGUCUAGUGCUCCUUAUCACCAUCUGCUCUCAGAGGUUACUUGCAACAAGUGUCAUCAGAAAGGGAACUCUGCAAACAAAUGCUUCAACCAAAUGCGCCUUCCGCGUCCUCCUCCUGUGA
RNAcentral lists this ribosomal RNA (315 nucleotides) under Triticum aestivum (bread wheat). RNAcentral's name for it is "partial small subunit ribosomal RNA". The record is from RNAcentral. Lineage: Eukaryota; Viridiplantae; Streptophyta; Magnoliopsida; Poales; Poaceae.